AUUCAACGACAGGGGAGCGCAGCCGUCGGGCGUCACUGGCAUUUGCCAGGAUCCGCAGGUGGGCGCUGAGAGUGCGGACAGCCGCAGACCCUCGAACCUGAUCCGGUUAGUACCGGCGCAAGGGAGUCGAGUUCUCGAAGUG
This 142-nucleotide non-coding RNA is filed under the name Arthrobacter sp. Its description in RNAcentral is "TPP sequence". It matches the Rfam family "TPP riboswitch aptamer (THI element)". From Rfam's summary of the family: Vitamin B(1) in its active form thiamin pyrophosphate (TPP) is an essential coenzyme that is synthesised by coupling of pyrimidine and thiazole moieties in bacteria. The previously detected thiamin-regulatory element, thi box was extended, resulting in a new, highly conserved RNA secondary structure, the THI element, which is widely distributed in eubacteria and also occurs in some archaea. Lineage: Bacteria; Bacillati; Actinomycetota; Actinomycetes; Micrococcales; Micrococcaceae. The record is from RNAcentral.